CCUACGGGAGGCAGCAGUGGGGAAUAUUGGGCAAUGGGCGAAAGCCUGACCCAGCAACGCCGCGUGAAGGAAGAAGGCUUUCGGGUUGUAAACUUCUUUUGACAGGGAAGAGCAGAAGACGGUACCUGUCGAAUAAGCCACGGCUAACUACGUGCCAGCAGCCGCGGUAAUACGUAGGUGGCAAGCGUUGUCCGGAUUUACUGGGUGGAAAGGGCGUGUAGCCGGGCUUACAAGUCAGAUGUGAAAUCCGGGGGCUCAACCCCCGAACUGCAUUUGAAACUGUUGGUCUUGAGUAUCGGAGAGGCAGGCGGAAUUCCUAGUGUAGCGGUCAAAUGCGUAGAUAUUAGGAGGAACACCAGUGGCGAAGGCGGCCUGCUGGACGACAACUGACGGUGAGGCGCGAAAGCGUGGGGAGCAAACAGGAUUAGAUACCCCUGUAGUC
RNAcentral lists this ribosomal RNA (442 nucleotides) under uncultured bacterium. Its description in RNAcentral is "partial 16S ribosomal RNA". It matches the Rfam family "Bacterial small subunit ribosomal RNA", at positions 338 to 795 of the family's 1533-position model. The record is from RNAcentral.